AGGCGGUGGUCGCGCUGGGCGACGGGACGGCGCUGGUUUUUCUCUUGAGUUUUAAAUUGAGGCGGUGGAGGAGGGAGUGGGAGACCCACUCACCCGAUAUGCGCUCUGGUCUCCAUUUCUCCCCACGCUCGCGCCGUUCCUUCGAGUGAGGGAGGGACUCGCAGCGCCGCCCGCGCACCGGACCCACAAGGCGAGCCCCGUGGUGGCGGGGAUGGUUCUGCGCGCCUGGCAGCUCCCACCCCGG
This 244-nucleotide long non-coding RNA is filed under the name Homo sapiens (human). Its description in RNAcentral is "HSALNT0248016". Lineage: Eukaryota; Metazoa; Chordata; Mammalia; Primates; Hominidae. The record is from RNAcentral.